AUGAAGUGCUAAUGGAAUGUCAUUUGAAUCAAGGUGUUGGGCGGCUGCCUGUGGCAGGGUAGGUAUUGUCUGACCUUGAGGUGGGAAAGUCCAGGCGAGGUUGCUGGGGGUAACCGGAGUCCAGAGCCAAGAGCGGCAGGCUGCACAGAGGCCUGACCCCAUUUUGCAAGGCAGUGGUGCCAGGAGGCCUGUUUUCCAUGGUGUUCGCUGACUCCUCCAGCUCCAAGGAGCUCUGAGUGUUUGGGCCAUGUUCCCAGGGUCAUCCCCCUAACAGCAUGCUGGAGGCGCUUCGGACUCAAGGCUCCGUCAGCUGCAGUCCCAGCCCUGAAGGGACCUCCUCCUACGUCCCAGUUGGUUCAGUCAAGUCUCCAUUGUACAAGACAAUCCCCAGGAAGGACCAGGACAUAUUUCUGCCCCAGGAGUAGAGGCUUACUGGAGAAGGCUUUGAGCCGGGUUCCAUUCCAGCGGAGGCUGGGGGGCUGGGGGGCCCAGAGCACGGGGGUCAGGCGGCCAAAGUGAGCACUGGCCAGCGUCAGGCCAUAGCAAGGGAGCAUUUCGGGCCAGGCUCAUGGGGGCAGGGAGCCACGGUGCACGGCCCGGAGGCGGCCCCAGCCGGUUCCCGCCAGGUGACAGAGGACUGCUUUGGCGAGCACUCCCUGCCCCGGAGGACACCCACCUUGGGAGGACCAGAUGCAGCAGACACGGGGAAGGAAUGAGUGCUGGAGCCCCGUUUCUGGAUGCCUGCUUCUGGAGUUCAUGUCUCCUGAGACUCAGCCCUGGGGCUGGGGGUUUGGGCAGCUCCAGAGAAACCGGAGCCCUCCUUCCUGGGCCCCAGUGGGGGCCCCCACAAGCUGAGGCCACCCCACCCCAAACCCGCAGGGUGCCCGCUGCUGGCAGGCUGAUGCUUGGUUUGCCUUCUGCUAGCACCCUGUGGACCCCUGGGCCCAGAGGCAGCCCUGGGGGGGCUCUCCAGGGGCCCCUCCUUUUGGGGCACCAGGCUGCUCCUCUGCAGGGCAUGCCCGGCCUCAGGCCCCUUUGACCACCUGGAAUCCUGGUCCGACACUUAACCACCCUGAGACGUUGGCUCCCACCUGGGCCACAGGACCCGAGGGGAGGGUGUACAAGGUUGUUCACGGAAUGACCUUCACUCCCAUCCAAGUGCUAACCAGGCCCGACCCUGCUCACCGUCCGAGAUCCGACGAGACGGGGCGCGUUCAGGGUGGUACGGCCGUCGACACAAGACGAAAUCAGAGAGGGAGACAAACCAUGAGAGACUCUGAACUCUG
Canis lupus familiaris (dog) is the source of this 1286-nucleotide long non-coding RNA. RefSeq lists it as uncharacterized. NCBI's taxonomy places the organism in Eukaryota, Metazoa, Chordata, Mammalia, Carnivora, Canidae. The transcript has 3 exons. The record is from RefSeq and is a predicted model, not a curated record.